Molecule: ribosomal RNA, 500 nt
Filed under: uncultured bacterium
Lineage: Bacteria
Description: partial 16S ribosomal RNA
Rfam family: Bacterial small subunit ribosomal RNA
Source: RNAcentral
AUUGAACGCUGGCGGAAUGCUUUACACAUGCAAGUCGAACGGCAGCACGGACUUCGGUCUGGUGGCGAGUGGCGAACGGGUGAGUAAUGUAUCGGAACGUGCCCAGUCGUGGGGGAUAACGUAGUGAAAAUUACGCUAAUACCGCAUACGAUCUAUGGAUGAAAGCGGGGGAUCGCAAGACCUCGCGCGAUUGGAGCGGCCGAUAUCAGAUUAGGUAGUUGGUGGGGUAAAGGCCCACCAAGCCAACGAUCUGUAGCUGGUCUGAGAGGACGGCCAGCCACACUGGAACUGAGAGACGGUCCAGACUCCUACGGGAGGCAGCAGUGGGGAAUUUUGGACAAGGGGCGAAAGCCUGAUCCAGCCAUUCCGCGUGCAGGAUGAAGGCCCUCGGGUUGUAAACUGCUUUUGUACAGAACGAAAAGGUUUCUACUAAUACUAGGAGCUCAUGACGGUACUGUAAGAAUAAGCACCGGCUAACUACGUGCCAGCCGCCGCCGUAA